This is a long non-coding RNA of Drosophila mojavensis, 1507 nucleotides long. RefSeq lists it as uncharacterized. The transcript has 3 exons. Lineage: Eukaryota; Metazoa; Arthropoda; Insecta; Diptera; Drosophilidae. The record is from RefSeq and is a predicted model, not a curated record.
CAGCCCCAUCUACAUUACAUAUACAUGUACACAAUCAGAUGUAUGUAUGCGUGUGCCUGUGAGUGUGUGCGUGUGUGUAUCUGCGAUUGUGCAAAACCCGAAACGAUAUGUAUACGAAUGCGUUGCUGUUUGAAUUGUACACCAAUACAAACAGAAAGUGGGAGUGGUAUAUAAUAGUUACUUCUGGCUGUGUGUAUGUCUCUGACGCUGUCUGGCUUUGUGCGCUUGUGUUAGCAUCCCCGAAAACACAAUGACAAACGUAAUAAAAUACAAACAAAAACAAACACAAAUGAAAUGAAACACAGAAGCAGAAACGACAGAACGAGAACGAUGGCUGAGACGGAAGAAAAUUAGCAGCAGCAGCAGCAGCAGCAAAAGCAGCACACACACAAAUGCAUCACUGACGCUGACGCUGCUGUCGCCGCCCUAUACAAUACGGCAACAGGGCACAUUCUCUCUCUCGCUCAAUCUCCCUCUCGCUUGCUCUCAAUGGAUUGCAAGCACCGCACUCGCUUACACAACGCGCACAUACAACAUGCACACAGAGCAGGUGGCUUGCAACCAAUAAACAUGAGGGAGCGUGAGCGACACAUUUACAUAUUUGCAUUGUGUGUGUAUGGUUGAGAGUGAGCGCUGCCCAGUAGCGCGCGCUCACUCACUCCAAUGGCCGACGUCGCUUAUAUAAACAAAUGACAAUUGUUUUGCAUUUCUGUUCGUUGGCUCCUUUUUUUUACUUUUUGCUUUUCUUUAUAUCAGAGUAAAUUAAAAUAAAUGCAUUGCAUUUGCAAAAAACUUCGUGUACUCCCGACGUUAAACUUCGAUCUCGACUCCGACUUGGUGGCAGCUUGUGCGCAGCUGCUUAGCGAGCGAUUCGUUUUACUUUAUUUUUGUUAGCUACACAGCUCAUUUUCUUAUUGGAAAAGCAUUUUAAUUUCAAUUAAAAAAGUAAAUGACAAAGUUUUUCGAACCCCUCCGCUGGCUGAACCUACUCUACACACUCGAAUUGCCAUUACCCUAUUCUUAUCAAACUCGGCUUUUGGGUGUGUAAGCGAGACAGCUGCUGCUGCUGCUGCCGCUACUGCUCGGGAUGAAGUCCAUCUCAUAUAUUCACUGUUUUUUUAUGCUAUUUGUGGGUUUGUCAACCGUUUCCCUUUUCGUUUCUCAUUCGUUUCACAAUUUUCCAUUUCGUCUUCGGCGUCGCAUUUAUAUUUCUUGCAAUUUUUUGCUUCGAUUCUGAACGGUUUAGCAAUAGUCGUCCUUCCAUCCCGCUCGCACUCGUUGACAUUUUAAAACAUGCACUGUGAGCGUGUGUGUGCGUGUGUUGGGCUACAUAGCAGGAGUUGGGAGCCCUACUGAAGUACGAAUGUUCGACUUUUGGGGCUGGCCUGGGGCCUGGCCUGGGGCGCUUAUACUUAUAAUAAAAUACCAAAUACUUGUCGUUGUCGCACCUUUGUGGCAUCUUCUGAUAUUUACAUAUACAUAUGUAUGUAUUUUAUAUGAAUGUAGC